This 253-nucleotide ribosomal RNA is filed under the name uncultured bacterium. Its description in RNAcentral is "partial 16S ribosomal RNA". It matches the Rfam family "Bacterial small subunit ribosomal RNA", at positions 524 to 776 of the family's 1533-position model. The record is from RNAcentral.
UACGUAGGGGGCCAGCGUUGCUCGGAAUUACUGGGCGUAAAGGGCGCGUAGGCGGGAUGGCAAGUCGGUCGUGAAAUCCCUCGGCUCAACUGAGGAUCGUCGAUCGAUACUGCCGUUCUUGAGGAUUGCAGAGGAGACUGGAAUUCCCGGUGUAGCGGUGAAAUGUGUAGAGAUCGGGAGGAACACCGGUGGCGAAGGCGGGUCUCUGGGCAAUUCCUGACGCUGAGGCGCGAAAGCGUGGGGAGCAAACGGG